GACGAACGCUGGCGGCGUGCUUAACACAUGCAAGUCGAACGGAAAGGCCCUGCGUUUGUGGGGUGCUCGAGUGCCGAACGGGUGAGUAACACGUGAGUAACCUGCCCUUGACUUUGGGAUAACUUCAGGAAACUCGGGCUAAUACCGGAUAGGAUCUCCUGAUCCACGGUGGGGGUUGGAAAGUGUCGGCGGUUGGGGAUGGACUCGCGGCUUAUCAGCUUGUUGGUGGGGUAGUGGCUUACCAAGGCUUUGACGGAUAGCCGGCCUGAGAGGGUGACCGGGCACAAUGGGCCUAAGAUACGGCACAGACGGCUAUGGGAGGCAGCAGGCGAGAAUAUUACGCAAUGAGCGGAAGCCUGAUGCAGCAGCGCCCGGUGCGGGAUGACGGGCUUCGGGGUAUAAACCGCUGUCGCAUGUGACGAAGCGUGAUUGACGGUAAUGGGUAAAGAAGCACCGGCUAACUACGUG
RNAcentral lists this ribosomal RNA (468 nucleotides) under uncultured bacterium. Its description in RNAcentral is "partial 16S ribosomal RNA". It matches the Rfam family "Bacterial small subunit ribosomal RNA", at positions 28 to 507 of the family's 1533-position model. The record is from RNAcentral.